ACAGUAGUAGCUCAGUGGUUAAGGUGUUGGAAUACUGAUCAGAAGGUUGUGAGUUCAAAUCCUGCCACUACUGGG
This is a non-coding RNA of Pangasianodon gigas (Mekong giant catfish), 75 nucleotides long. The record is from the annotation of a GenBank genome assembly. Lineage: Eukaryota; Metazoa; Chordata; Actinopteri; Siluriformes; Pangasiidae.